RNAcentral lists this small RNA (28 nucleotides) under Bombyx mori (domestic silkworm). RNAcentral describes it as "ovarian small RNA-7531". Lineage: Eukaryota; Metazoa; Arthropoda; Insecta; Lepidoptera; Bombycidae. The record is from RNAcentral.
UCGAUGCUAUCCUACACUCUACAUUCGC